CGGGUGAGUAACGCGUGGGUAACCUGCCUUAUACAGGGGGAUAACAGUCAGAAAUGACUGCUAAUACCGCAUAAGCGCACGGGAUUGCAUGAUCCAGUGUGAAAAACUCCGGUGGUGUGAGAUGGACCCGCGUUGGAUUAGCCAGUUGGCAGGGUAACGGCCUACCAAAGCGACGAUCCAUAGCCGGCCUGAGAGGGUGGACGGCCACAUUGGGACUGAGACACGGCCCAGACUCCUACGGGAGGCAGCAUG
RNAcentral lists this ribosomal RNA (252 nucleotides) under uncultured bacterium. Its description in RNAcentral is "partial 16S ribosomal RNA". It matches the Rfam family "Bacterial small subunit ribosomal RNA", at positions 103 to 353 of the family's 1533-position model. The record is from RNAcentral.